This 164-nucleotide ribosomal RNA is filed under the name uncultured bacterium. Its description in RNAcentral is "partial 16S rRNA". It matches the Rfam family "Bacterial small subunit ribosomal RNA", at positions 355 to 511 of the family's 1533-position model. The record is from RNAcentral.
UAGGGAAUCUUCCACAAUGGGCGAAAGCCUGAUGGAGCAACGCCGCGUGUGUGAUGAAGGGUUUCGGCUCGUAAAACACUGUUGUAAGAGAAGAAUGACAUUGAGAGUAACUGUUCAAUGUGGGACGGUAUCUUACCAGAAAGGAACGGCUAAAUACGUACCAG